Non-coding RNA from Acanthosepion pharaonis, 98 nucleotides. The record is from the annotation of a GenBank genome assembly. Lineage: Eukaryota; Metazoa; Mollusca; Cephalopoda; Sepiida; Sepiidae.
UUGAAACAACAAUUCCCUUGCGAUCACCGAAGUUAAGCAACAUCGAGCCUGGUCAGUACGUAGAUGAGUGACUGCCUGAAAAUACCAGGUACUGUAAG